RNAcentral lists this ribosomal RNA (301 nucleotides) under uncultured bacterium. RNAcentral's name for it is "partial 16S ribosomal RNA". It matches the Rfam family "Bacterial small subunit ribosomal RNA", at positions 509 to 807 of the family's 1533-position model. The record is from RNAcentral.
CAGUCGCCGCGGUAAUACGUAGGUGACAAGCGUUGUCCGGAAUUAUUGGGCGUAAAGGGCUCGCAGGCGGUUUCUUAAGUCUGAUGUGAAAGCCCCCGGCUCAACCGGGGAGGGUCAUUGGAAACUGGGAAACUUGAGUGCAGAAGAGGAGAGUGGAAUUCCACGUGUAGCGGUGAAAUGCGUAGAGAUGUGGAGGAACACCAGUGGCGAAGGCGACUCUCUGGUCUGUAACUGACGCUGAGGAGCGAAAGCGUGGGGAGCGAACAGGAUUAGAUACCCCAGUAGUCCCUGUCUCUUAUAC